UGUAUCUGAAGUCUGACGAGGAUGAGAACCUCCGGGGGCAAGAGGUUCGACUCGAGCGAAGCGAGAGAACGUUGCGUCAGCAACGGCCCGCAGGGCGAGCCACGCAGU
Molecule: small RNA, 108 nt
Filed under: Salmonella enterica
Lineage: Bacteria; Pseudomonadati; Pseudomonadota; Gammaproteobacteria; Enterobacterales; Enterobacteriaceae
Also listed under: 2 other names
Description: partial RtT sRNA
Rfam family: RtT RNA
About the family: This family represents a bacterial cis-regulatory element known as RtT RNA. The exact function of RtT is unknown although it is thought that it may be involved in changing the cellular response in relation to amino acid starvation.
Source: RNAcentral